UUGUGAUGAAUCCUAAACUGAAACGCUGGAAUUACCGUCAGAUUGUUUGUGGUGACUCUCGGUUUUCUGAAC
Molecule: small nucleolar RNA, 72 nt
Filed under: Cyclopterus lumpus (lumpfish)
Lineage: Eukaryota; Metazoa; Chordata; Actinopteri; Perciformes; Cyclopteridae
Source: RNAcentral